Formica exsecta is the source of this 2283-nucleotide RNA transcript. RefSeq lists it as uncharacterized. The record is from RefSeq and is a predicted model, not a curated record. NCBI's taxonomy places the organism in Eukaryota, Metazoa, Arthropoda, Insecta, Hymenoptera, Formicidae. The transcript is spliced from 4 exons.
GGAAUUUAAUUUGUUAGUAGCAGUUACAACAUUUUGCGCAAUUAAUAAAUUGCUAACAAGUUAACUCCAAUUUGCAUUAAAAAUGAACAAUACUUUACCUACACCUACCUACUUUAAAACAUUCGUUCAAUGUUCGAAACAGGUCCAAUUUUAGUCUGUUUAGUUCUUAAAAUGGACAUUUUUCGAAUGUUCAGGAAAGUAACACUGGACAUGUUUAAAAUGUCCUAAAGAUGUCUGAGGCUCUAAUCUGGAUGUUUUAAAUAUGUACGAAACAUCCAAUAUGUAUAUUUUUAAUACGUUUUUAAAACGUCAUUGUGCUGUCUGGGUUGUGAAAAAAGACAAAGUGUUGAUGAUAAUCGGCAUUGUGAUUACUUAAACGAUAAACGGGCAGAAAUCGAAUUAGAAUCUAAUGUAUGAUCCACAAACGUCGCAUUUAUCGUCAUCAAAUUACGAAUCAUAAAGAGACAUUCAUGUGCAAAAUGUUACUAUUAUAAUAUUGAAAAAAUUCUGAAUCUUGAUAAUCCUAAUGAAUUUAUAGGCAAACGAAAAAAAACUGAAGUUAAGGUUCAUAAACAUUCUACAACAUGUACUCCACAAUAAGAAAAAGAUGUUAGAUUUUUUUCACCUAUGGCUGAAGAUUUUCGGUAAAAAUUCUUACGUAUCUCUUUAUAUUAAAAUAUUUUUUAAUGAAUUAUUACAAAGCAUACUUUUUAUUUUUUCUGUAGCCAAUUAUAUGAAUGGAUAGACACAAGGUUUACAAAUAUUGAAAGAACUAUACAAAAUUCUCUAAAUUCAAAAAAUAAGAAAAAAUGUUGGAUUAAAUCUUCUUUUCUUCCCUUUACAAGUAAAGAAGAAGUUCUAAAAUUUGAUAAUGCAGAAGAGAAAACUUAUGACGAAGUUGUAAGUAUUAAAUACAAAAAAAGGAGAUUAUUUGCUAUAUAUAAAUUAUUAAUUUAAAAUUAUACUUGUAUAUGUAUUAGAUAUGUUAUCUACAAUAUGUUGGAGGAUUUUCAUUAAAAGAAGCAUUAAAUUUAAAGAAACAGUUGAAGACGAAGUUAUGUCUUUUUUUACUUUUUAUGGCAAUAAAGAAGAAAAAAUUGACUCAUUUUUCAAAACAAAACUUUGUUCUGCUAUUCAAGAAGCAAUAUCGGAAAACAAACACUUUCAUUCACCAAGUAGUACGGAGUUUCGUCAAGAUAUGAUUGAAGCCAUUCGUAAUGCCAAACAACGUAAAAGAAAUGCAAUUAAUAAAAAGGAGAGCAAAGGUAAACGUCAUUUCCAAAAAGAAGAAAUGCAACAAAUCUUUAUGCAACGUCAAGAGAAGUACUUGCAAAAAGAAUAAUAUAAGUAUUUUUAUAAAGAAAAGUAGAUAUAUAUGAGUUUAAAACGAACAAAACGCAAAUUUGUUCGAAUCUGGUUUCUUUUUUUAAUUUUUUAAACACGGAAUCUUUUUUUUCAUUUAUAUUUCGAUUACUGAAAUUCACUACAAACCACAAGUGUUAGAAAUUUUAAAAUAAAAAUGAUAAAUGGUGUAUUUUUCUUUUCUCAAAUUGUAAUACUAUUAUAUAGUUCCGUCAGAACUUCAGUAUUUGUUUGCAAAUUACUUAAGAAAUUAUAUUUCUUUUUACUUUAUAUUUAUAUGUGUAUGGAAAAGAGAGUUUAAAUUUUUAUGUUACUGUUUCAAAGCUUUAUUUGAUCGAUUUAUUGUAUUUAUUUCGAUAUAGAUAUAAAAGAUGUUUGUAUAUAAUUUUACAUUGACUUCAAAAAUUUUAUUUCUUUAAAUUUAAGUAUAAUUGAAGUAUCACUUUAGUACAUAAAAUGUAUCAAAAUUAGUAUGCUAAUUACAUAUUGUAUUCAUAUAAUUAUAACAUUUAAUUGAUAACAUUUAAUUUAUAAAAUAAUUUUUUCCUAGCGCGUUUCCUUUUAAUCUUUAAUUAUUUACGCAAUAUAUUGCAAUUUGUUAAUUAUAUUUAAAACAUUAUUAUUUUUAUACAAGAGAACAUUAUAAUAAAUUCUAUUGUAAAAUUAAAUAAUUAAUCUUGAUAAAAAUAACGUGUUUGAGUUUUAUUGCUGCAUAUUGUGUGUAAAGAAUAUUAGAAUAACAUAUUUUAAACAUUUUAAUAUUCUAAAAUACAUUGAACUCUUCAUUGAGCGAUGUUAUAUAGUAAUGUAUCCUUUGAUAUUUAUCAAAAUUUUAAUUAACAAUUUUAUAACAAUUGUAAAUCUAAUUAAAGUAUUAAUUAAAUUUUUGAAAAAUGUUAACACGUACAUUAUAGCAUACAU